CUCGUGUAAUGGAAUCUUGAACCAUAAAUGAAUGAGUCGAAGGGCUAUUUAACAGAGCCUCAACCCAUAAUCUCUGCACACGGGAAAUUAUGUGCUUAAAGCGGUGCGUUAUUAAUCAAAGACAGACAAGAGCAGACUGCGACUCCCUUUAGGGAGAACAGAGAGCACAUUUGGUCAUAUUUAGUCUGCUAUGAUGCAAGGAACUGCUUGAGUAACUUUGGGAACAGGGUUGAAUAAUUGAGUUUGAUGAAUGCAGUCAACGUGGGAGGUGUGGAAGUCAGUCCAUCAUUUUUGGAGAGAUUAGGGAAGCUGUUAAGACACAGGUCUGACCUUUUAUCCUGCACUGGGCG
Molecule: long non-coding RNA, 350 nt
Organism: Myxocyprinus asiaticus (Chinese sucker)
Lineage: Eukaryota; Metazoa; Chordata; Actinopteri; Cypriniformes; Catostomidae
Exons: 3
Source: RefSeq, a predicted model, not a curated record